UACACUUCGACAUCUUCGAGU
Molecule: non-coding RNA, 21 nt
Filed under: Caenorhabditis elegans
Lineage: Eukaryota; Metazoa; Nematoda; Chromadorea; Rhabditida; Rhabditidae
Source: RNAcentral